GACGAACGCUGGCGGCGUGCUUAACACAUGCAAGUCGAACGGAAAGGCUCCAGCUUGCUGGAGUACUCGAGUGGCGAACGGGUGAGUAACACGUGGGUAAUCUGCCCUGCACUCUGGGAUAAUCCUGGGAAACUGGGUCUAAUCCUGGCUAUGACCUUUCUCCUUAUGGGGUUUGGUGGAAAGUUUUUCGGUGUAGGAUGAGCCCGCGGCCUAUCGGCUUGUUGGUGGGGUGAUGGCCUACCAAGGCGACGACGGGUAGCCGGCCUGAGAGGGUGAUCGGCCACAUUGGGACUGAGAUACGGCCCAGACUCCUACGGGAGGCAGCAGUGGGGAAUAUUGCACAAUGGGCGGAAGCCUGAUGCAGCGACGCCGCGUGAGGGAUGACGGCCUUCGGGUUGUAAACCUCUUUCAGCAGGGACGAAGCGUAAGUGACGGUACCUGCAGAAGAAGCACCGGCUAACUAUGUG
This 467-nucleotide ribosomal RNA is filed under the name uncultured bacterium. RNAcentral's name for it is "partial 16S ribosomal RNA". It matches the Rfam family "Bacterial small subunit ribosomal RNA", at positions 28 to 507 of the family's 1533-position model. The record is from RNAcentral.